This is a long non-coding RNA of Sapajus apella (tufted capuchin), 404 nucleotides long. RefSeq lists it as uncharacterized. NCBI's taxonomy places the organism in Eukaryota, Metazoa, Chordata, Mammalia, Primates, Cebidae. The transcript is spliced from 3 exons. The record is from RefSeq and is a predicted model, not a curated record.
UUUGGGGACCACUGGUCUGGAGGGACAAAAUAGCUGGGAGAAGUUGGCUCCAAAUGGAUAAGUUGGGUGCCAAGGUGCCACCUUCCCUGACCUCACAGUCCCCCAGCUCAGCUCUGACCCCCCCAGGGACCACUGAGAUGCCAAAGUGUAAGGGCUCUUUCGAAGGAAUUAACGAGGCUGGGAGAAAAAGAGAGAAGUGACGGGGCCUCUUUAGCAGAGGACUUAUGUGGGUAAGGAGAGAGCAGUGAGGACUCAAAAUUGAUCAAGUCAUUUGGUUUAUAUGCAAACGUCCCCAGGGCCACUGAGGCACCUGGCAGAAAUGCCCAUGCCCAGUGCUUUUUUGUUGUUGUUGUUCUGAGACGGAGUUUCGUUCUGUCACCCAGGCUGGAAUGCAGUGGUGCGAU